This 459-nucleotide ribosomal RNA is filed under the name uncultured bacterium. Its description in RNAcentral is "partial 16S ribosomal RNA". It matches the Rfam family "Bacterial small subunit ribosomal RNA", at positions 338 to 795 of the family's 1533-position model. The record is from RNAcentral.
CCUACGGGUGGCAGCAGUGAGGAAUAUUGGUCAAUGGGCGAGAGCCUGAACCAGCCAAUUCGCGUGAAGGAUGAAGGAUCUAUGGUUUGUAAACUUCUUUUAUAUGGGAAUAAAGUGAGGAACGUGUUCCUUUUUGUAUGUACCAUAUGCAUAAGCAUCGGCUAACUCCGUGCCAGCAGCCGAGGUAAUACGGAGGCUGCGAGCGUUAUCCGGAUUUAUUGGGUUUAAGGGGUGCGCAGGCGGUUUGUUAAGUCAGCGGUCAAAGACCGGGGCUCAACCCCGGCCCGCCGUUGAAACUGGCAGUCGCGAGUUGGCGAGAAGUAUGCGGAAUGCGCGGUGUAGCGGUGAAAUGCAUAGAUAUCGCGCAGAACUCCGAUUGCGAAGGCAGCAUGCCGGCUCCACACUGACGCUGAGGCACGAAAGCGUGGGUAUCGAACAGGAUUAGAGACCCUAGUAGUC